GGCGGCGUGCUUAACACAUGCAAGUCGAACGAGGCAGCAAUGCCUAGUGGCGGACGGGUGAGUAACACGUAGGUAACCUGCCUCAUAGUGGGGGAUACCCAGCCGAAAGGUUGGCUAAUACCGCAUGAGCUCGUUGGUUGGAAUACUAACGAGGAAAGAUUUAUCGCUAAGAGAGGGGCCUGCGUAUGAUUAGCUAGUUGGUGAGGUAAAGGCUCACCAAGGCGACGAUCAUUAGCUGGUCUGAGAGGACGAUCAGCCACACUGGAACUGAGACACGGUCCAGACUCCUACGGGAGGCAGCAGUGGGGAAUUUUCCGCAAUGGGCGCAAGCCUGACGGAGCAACGCCGCGUGGAUGAUGAAGUCUUUCGGGACGUAAAAUCCUUUCAGCAGGGACGAAGCGAGUGACGGUACCUGCAGAAGAAGCAUCGGCUAACUACGUGCCAGCAGCCGCGGUAAUACGUANGAUGCGAGCGUUGUCCGGAAUUAUUGGGCGUAAAGCGAACGUAGGCGGCCUGAUAAGUUUGGUCUUAAAGACCGGGGCUCA
This 545-nucleotide ribosomal RNA is filed under the name uncultured bacterium. RNAcentral describes it as "bacterial SSU rRNA". It matches the Rfam family "Bacterial small subunit ribosomal RNA", at positions 38 to 611 of the family's 1533-position model. The record is from RNAcentral.